GAUGAACGCUGGCGGCGUGCCUAAUACAUGCAAGUCGAGCGAACGGACGAGAAGCUUGCUUCUCUGAUGUUAGCGGCGGACGGGUGAGUAACACGUGGAUAACCUACCUAUAAGACUGGGAUAACUUCGGGAAACCGGAGCUAAUACCGGAUAAUAUUUUGAACCGCAUGGUUCAAAAGUGAAAGACGAUCUUGCUGUCACUUAUAGAUGGAUCCGCGCUGCAUUAGCUAGUUGGUAAGGUAACGGCUUACCAAGGCAACGAUGCAUAGCCGACCUGAGAGGGUGAUCGGCCACACUGGAACUGAGACACGGUCCAGACUCCUACGGGAGGCAGCAGUAGGGAAUCUUCCGCAAUGGGCGAAAGCCUGACGGAGCAACGCCGCGUGAGUGAUGAAGGUCUUCGGAUCGUAAAACUCUGUUAUUAGGGAAGAACAUAUGUGUAAGUAACUGUGAACAUCUUGACGGUACCUAAUCAGAAAGCCACGGCUAACUACGUG
This 497-nucleotide ribosomal RNA is filed under the name uncultured bacterium. RNAcentral describes it as "partial 16S ribosomal RNA". It matches the Rfam family "Bacterial small subunit ribosomal RNA", at positions 28 to 507 of the family's 1533-position model. The record is from RNAcentral.